AUUGAACGCUGGCGGCAUGCCUUACACAUGCAAGUCGAACGGCAGCACGGGUGCUUGCACCUGGUGGCGAGUGGCGAACGGGUGAGUAAUACAUCGGAACAUGUCCUGUAGUGGGGGAUAGCCCGGCGAAAGCCGGAUUAAUACCGCAUACGAUCUACGGAUGAAAGCGGGGGACCUUCGGGCCUCGCGCUAUAGGGUUGGCCGAUGGCUGAUUAGCUAGUUGGUGGGGUAAAGGCCUACCAAGGCGACGAUCAGUAGCUGAUCUGAGAGGACGACCAGCCACACUGGGACUGAGACACGGCCCAGACUCCUACGGGAGGCAGCAGUGGGGAAUUUUGGACAAUGGGCGAAAGCCUGAUCCAGCAAUGCCGCGUGUGUGAAGAAGGCCUUCGGGUUGUAAAGCACUUUUGUCCGGAAAGAAAUCCUUGGCCCUAAUACGGUCGGGGGAUGACGGUACCGGAAGAAUAAGCACCGGCUAACUACGUG
RNAcentral lists this ribosomal RNA (486 nucleotides) under uncultured bacterium. Its description in RNAcentral is "partial 16S ribosomal RNA". It matches the Rfam family "Bacterial small subunit ribosomal RNA", at positions 30 to 507 of the family's 1533-position model. The record is from RNAcentral.